This 574-nucleotide long non-coding RNA is filed under the name Olea europaea subsp. europaea. The record is from RNAcentral. Lineage: Eukaryota; Viridiplantae; Streptophyta; Magnoliopsida; Lamiales; Oleaceae.
CUAUAUUGUUUAUUAAAUUNAAAUUUAUAAACAGAAACAGAAAAAAAUGAAAAUAAAAAAAUCACCUUGCCUUCUGGGUGAAAACAGGGGUGAAUGAUACCAUUCAUAUCCAAAUACAAAUUAUCAAACUCUACGCCAUUAGGGUUAGGCUUAGUUACAUCAAUACGUAUUGACACCCCAUUUUUAUCCUCCCUGGGCUCUUCCUCCACCACGUCCACAAUACACAGCGGGUACCGAUCUGCAAGCCACCUGUAAAAAGCCGGAACUCCCAUUCUUGAUUCUUCCUUAAGCAGUUACUCUACCCGUAAUUCUCUGGUACAGUAAUCUUUCCCCUUUAGGUUGAAAUUGAGCUCCAAGAAAUUGGUAAUUUUUCAAUUAGGUUAAAAUAGCAAUUGAAGAACUGUGAUGUGUAUGUUUACGUUAUACAGUACAUGUAUAUACACAUAUGCACAUGGUCUUGCUUGAAAAUGUGUUUCUAAAUGGGAGAAGGCGAAGGGUUGGACUUGGGUGUCGUAUGCCCUCUCUCUCUCUAGAACCGUAUGAGAGAGACGGAGAGAGGCUUCCCGAUUUCGUG